AUGAUAGCUUUGCUCCUAAAGAGUGCUGAGCUGAAGGAAAAAAAGAUCGAGGGAUUGGAGGCGCUCAGAUCUAGUGUUGACUUAGAUCACUCCGAUGGAGAACAAGGAACUGAUGAAGAAGAUGGCAAUCAGGUUGUGAUUUUGAGGUCAAAACCAGGCACAAGCAGCUCAAUGGGUGGCCCUAUGGACAAAUUCUGCAAGCCUAGUAUAGAAGAAACUGUCAAGAGGAAGCAAAAAAGAAAUUGUGAAUCCGAAAAGGUUCAGUCGAAGUUGUCAACUCAGGAAAGACAACAGAGGAGGGAUAGAGCUUGUGGAUAUAUAUGUCAAUUUUUCUAUGAAGCUAGCAUCCCACAUAACACUGUCACACUUCCUAGCUUUGCAUGUAUGCUUCAGGCCAUUGGAGAUGUUGGCACAAACUUCGAUGGGCCUACUGCAUAUGAGAUGAGUGGACCAUUCUUGCAGAAAAGGAAGAAGAAGGUGUUAGAUUCAUUCAAACCACAUAAGCAAGCAUGGGAGCACACAGGUUGUACCGUAAUGACAGAUGCAUGGACAGAUAAAAAGGGCAGGGGGGGUAAUGAACCUAGUUGUGCAUAG
RNAcentral lists this ribosomal RNA (594 nucleotides) under Triticum aestivum (bread wheat). RNAcentral's name for it is "partial small subunit ribosomal RNA". Lineage: Eukaryota; Viridiplantae; Streptophyta; Magnoliopsida; Poales; Poaceae. The record is from RNAcentral.